This 258-nucleotide ribosomal RNA is filed under the name uncultured bacterium. Its description in RNAcentral is "partial 16S ribosomal RNA". The record is from RNAcentral.
CUGCUGCCUCCCGUAGGAGUUUGGUCCGUGUCUCAGUACCAAUGUGGGGGGGUUAACCUCUCAGUCCCCCCUAUGUAUCGUCGCCUUGGUGAGCCGUUACCUCACCAACCAGCUAAUACAACGCAUGCCCAUCAUCAACCACCGGAGUUUUCAACCCCAUGCGAUGCCGCAUGAGAUAUUAUGGGGUAUUAGUACCAAUUUCUCAGUGUUAUCCCCCUGUUGAUGGUAGGUUGCAUACGCGUUACGCACCCGUGCCGG